RNAcentral lists this ribosomal RNA (497 nucleotides) under uncultured bacterium. RNAcentral describes it as "partial 16S ribosomal RNA". It matches the Rfam family "Bacterial small subunit ribosomal RNA", at positions 28 to 507 of the family's 1533-position model. The record is from RNAcentral.
GAUGAACGCUGGCGGCGUGCCUAAUACAUGCAAGUCGAGCGAACAGAUGAGGAGCUUGCUCCUCUGACGUUAGCGGCGGACGGGUGAGUAACACGUGGAUAACCUACCUAUAAGACUGGGAUAACUUCGGGAAACCGGAGCUAAUACCGGAUAAUAUAUUGAACCGCAUGGUUCAAUAGUGAAAGACGGUUUUGCUGUCACUUAUAGAUGGAUCCGCGCCGCAUUAGCUAGUUGGUAAGGUAACGGCUUACCAAGGCAACGAUGCGUAGCCGACCUGAGAGGGUGAUAGGCCACACUGGAACUGAGACACGGUACAGACUCCUACGGGAGGCAGCAGUAGGGAAGCUUCCGCAAUGGGCGAAAGCCUGACGGAGCAACGCCGCGUGAGUGAUGAAGGUCUUCGGAUCGUAAAACUCUGUUAUUAGGGAAGAACAAAUGUGUAAGUAACUAUGCACGUCUUGACGGUACCUAAUCAGAAAGCCACGGCUAACUACGUG